UCAUAUGCUUGUCUCAAAGAUAAGCCAUGCAUGUCUAAGUAUAAGCAAUCUAUACGGUGAAACUGCGAAUGGCUCAUAAAUCAGUUAUCGUUUAUUGAUAGUACCUUACUACAUGGAUACCUGUGGUAAUUCUAGAGCUAAUACAUGCUAAAAACCUCGACUUCGGAAGGGGUGUAUUUAUUAGAUAAAAAACCAAUGCCCUUCGGGGCUCCUUGGUGAAUCAUAAUAACUUAACGAAUCGCAUGGCCUUGCGCCGGCGAUGGUUCAUUCAAAUUUCUGCCCUAUCAACUUUCGAUGGUAGGAUAGUGGCCUACCAUGGUGGCAACGGGUAACGGGGAAUUAGGGUUCGAUUCCGGAGAGGGAGCCUGAGAAACGGCUACCACAUCCAAGGAAGGCAGCAGGCGCGCAAAUUACCCAAUCCCGAUACGGGGAGGUAGUGACAAUAAAUACUGAUACGGGGCUCUUUUGGGUCUCGUAAUUGGAAUGAGUACAAUUUAAAUACCUUAACGAGGAACAAUUGGAGGGCAAGUCUGGUGCCAGCAGCCGCGGUAAUUCCAGCUCCAAUAGCGUAUAUUAAAGUUGUUGCAGUUAAAAAGCUCGUAGUUGAACCUUGGGUCUGGCUGGCCGGUCCGCCUCACCGCGAGUACUGGUCCGGCUGGACCUUUCCUUCUGGGGAACCUCAUGGCCUUCACUGGCUGUGGGGGGAACCAGGACUUUUACUGUGAAAAAAUUAGAGUGUUCAAAGCAGGCCUUUGCUCGAAUACAUUAGCAUGGAAUAAUAGAAUAGGACGUGCGGUUCUAUUUUGUUGGUUUCUAGGACCGCCGUAAUGAUUAAUAGGGAUAGUCGGGGGCGUCAGUAUUCAGCUGUCAGAGGUGAAAUUCUUGGAUUUGCUGAAGACUAACUACUGCGAAAGCAUUCGCCAAGGAUGUUUUCAUUAAUCAGGGAACGAAAGUUAGGGGAUCGAAGACGAUCAGAUACCGUCGUAGUCUUAACCAUAAACUAUGCCGACUAGGGAUCGGGCGGUGUUUCUAUGAUGACCCG
This 1042-nucleotide non-coding RNA is filed under the name Aspergillus clavatus NRRL 1. RNAcentral describes it as "Eukaryotic small subunit ribosomal RNA". It matches the Rfam family "Eukaryotic small subunit ribosomal RNA", at positions 24 to 1078 of the family's 1831-position model. The record is from Rfam by way of RNAcentral. Lineage: Eukaryota; Fungi; Ascomycota; Eurotiomycetes; Eurotiales; Aspergillaceae.